GCCUUGGUGGCGCAAUGGAUAGCGCGUCUGGUUUCUACCCAGAAGGUUGUGGGUUCGAGUCCCACCCGAGGUG
This is a non-coding RNA of Schistocephalus solidus, 73 nucleotides long. Lineage: Eukaryota; Metazoa; Platyhelminthes; Cestoda; Diphyllobothriidea; Diphyllobothriidae. The record is from Rfam.